Molecule: non-coding RNA, 363 nt
Organism: Pelobates cultripes (western spadefoot toad)
Lineage: Eukaryota; Metazoa; Chordata; Amphibia; Anura; Pelobatidae
Source: the annotation of a GenBank genome assembly
CCAUACACACACAAGCCAAGCCACUUGCGUCAUGAAAACGCUCAAUACCCCAACUAGAUAUCUCUGUUGAAUAGCCUCGAAGCUUGAAGAAGUGCUCUUUAGUGAAUAGCUCUAUUACCCCCCAGAAACUAGACGACAGUUCUGGCAGUACAACUGUUUUUAUUGAGCUGAAUGUGGCCUUUUAUGCACAGACCCCCAGCAUGAGGUCUCUAUUCAGUACAUAAAGUGCACACCCGGGCCUCUCUGUCUGGGAGAUUAUUGUGUUGCAAUCCGCUAAACUAAUUAUCUCCCGGAUACAUAGUGCCAAACACAAAAAUACCCCCAAAACAUAAUAAAGACACACAGGAACCCCACACAUGCUGG